This 850-nucleotide small RNA is filed under the name Pan troglodytes (chimpanzee). RNAcentral describes it as "retained intron". The record is from RNAcentral. Lineage: Eukaryota; Metazoa; Chordata; Mammalia; Primates; Hominidae.
UGAAGGAACAUGGCCCUGUAUCAGAGGUGGCGGUGUCUCCGGCUCCAAGGUUUACAGGCUUGCAGGCUACACACGGCAGUUGUGUCGACCCCUCCACGCUGGUUGGCAGAGCGGCUUGGCCUUUUUGAGGAGCUAUGGGCUGCUCAGGUAAAGAGAUUAGCAAGCAUGGCACAGAAGGAACCCCGGACUAUUAAGAUAUCACUUCCUGGAGGCCAGAAAAUUGAUGCUGUGGCAUGGAACACAACCCCCUACCAACUAGCCCGGCAGAUCAGGUAACAGGUCCAUCCUGUAACUACCAGGAUUAUCCUUCUGCCCCUUUACUUUCUCUUCACUUGAGCAGGGGAAGAAAACUUGGUCUGCUUGUUUCUGUUCCAUCCCCAUUAAGAUAGCCUUUCCUGAAGAUUUUGUUUUUGUUUUUUGUUGUUGUUCUUUUAUACAGACGGGGUCUCUCCAUGUUGCCCAGGCUAGUCUUGAACUCCUGGGCUCAAGCGAUCCUUCCAUCUCAGCCUCCCGAAGUGCUGGGAUUACAGGCAUGAGCCACCAAACCCGGCCUGAGAUUUGUUUUAUCUGUAUUAGUUUCUGCAUCAGAGUCUCUGUCCUUUCAUUGGGGAAAGAAAUGAAAGCUUCUGUUGCUCUGGUAACUCAUUUCACCUUUGCAAGUUUACAGUUGCUGAGAGAUGAGCAACUUUCUCCCCACUGUGGAUUGUAACCCUGUCUGUUUUAAAUCAUUAAUUUACUUUUUAAUAAUUGAUACAUAAUAAUUGAACAUAUGAAUGGAUAUAUGUGAUAUUUUGAUAUAUGCAUACAAUAUGUAAUGAUCAAAUCAGGGUGUUCAGGAUAUCUGUUACCC